Molecule: ribosomal RNA, 253 nt
Filed under: uncultured bacterium
Lineage: Bacteria
Description: partial 16S ribosomal RNA
Rfam family: Bacterial small subunit ribosomal RNA
Source: RNAcentral
UACGUCGGGUGCGAGCGUUGUCCGGAAUUAUUGGGCGUAAAGAGCUCGUAGGCGGUCUGUCGCGUCGAAUGUGAAAACCCGGGGCUCAACUCCGGGCUUGCAUUCGAUACGGGCAGACUAGAGUUCGGUAGGGGAGACUGGAAUUCCUGGUGUAGCGGUGAAAUGCGCAGAUAUCAGGAGGAACACCGGUGGCGAAGGCGGGUCUCUGGGCCGAUACUGACGCUGAGGAGCGAAAGCGUGGGGAGCAAACAGG